This is a long non-coding RNA of Haliotis rubra (blacklip abalone), 101 nucleotides long. RefSeq lists it as uncharacterized. The transcript has 3 exons. Lineage: Eukaryota; Metazoa; Mollusca; Gastropoda; Lepetellida; Haliotidae. The record is from RefSeq and is a predicted model, not a curated record.
AUGCAUUCGUCACCGCUCGCCCCUUCCCGUAACCUCCAUCGCUAUUCGGCUUGUCCCGGAAUAACACGAGUGGGUCACGAAUACAACGUUGCCAUGUACAG